GACUCUCCGCCCUCUGCAUAAAAUCCUACUCGAAACGUUCAGACCACAGGUGGACCCAAGAGGGGCUGCCUCUGCCCUCCUAGACCCCCACUGGUCUUGUCAUACCGCUCACCUAGCUUGAUCCGCCCCACAGUCUUUGGAAUCGGCGCCAUCGCAUCUACAGUGACCCGGAAAUGAAAGAGAAAAGCCUUGAGCCACGUCCCAGGGGCCGCACGUCCUUUCCCCACGUCCCGUGUGCUCCGCCUCUUGACGGGGGAGCGGGGUUGCCAGGUGGCAAGUCGGCUGGACGAGGCGCUCCAAGGAUCGGCGUUGAGGGACCAGCUCCGCAGGCGGUGCCAAGAGGAGGGGGAUCUGCUACCAGGGCUGCUGGGCCUGGUCGGGGGCGUGGCGGGUUCAGCCAGCUGUGGACUAGGGCUCGGAGGGGCUGGGGCCUUGUGGAGCCAAUACUGGACCCUGCUGUGGGCAGCCUGUGCUCAGAGUCUGGACCUAAAUCUGGGACCCUGGAGGGACCCCAGGGCAACAGCGCAACAGCUGAGUCAGGCACUGGGUCAGGCAUCCCUGCCUCAGGAGUGUGAGAAGGAGCUGGCAUCUUUGUGUCACAGACUACUUCAUCAGUCGCUUAUCUGGAGCUGGGACCAAGGUUUCUGCCAGGCCUUGGGAUCAGCUCUUGGGGGUCAGAGCAGCCUUCCCACAUCCUCUGGCACUGCUGAACUUUUGCAGCAGCUCUUUCCUCCUCUCUUGGAUGCCCUUCGAGAGCCCAGGUUACGACGGAUUUUCUGCCAGCCUGCAGAUCCUGCGCCUGUCGCCCUAGGUCUCUGUACCCUUCAGACCACCUUGCUCUGGUUCCUGGGCAGAGCUCAGCAGUACUUGGCAGCAUGGGACCCAGCUUCCUUCCUGCUCCUGAUCCAAAAGGACUUACCUCCUCUGUUGCAUGAGGCAGAAGCUUUGUAUAGCCUGGCCUCAGAGGAAAGCUUAGCUCUGGAAGUGGAGCAGCAGCUGGGCCUGGAGAUCCAGAAGCUGACUGCACAGAUCCAG
This 1035-nucleotide long non-coding RNA is filed under the name Homo sapiens (human). RNAcentral's name for it is "non-protein coding lnc-CCDC142-3:2". Lineage: Eukaryota; Metazoa; Chordata; Mammalia; Primates; Hominidae. The record is from RNAcentral.